UCCGCCUUGGUGUAACGGCAGCACGUCAGCCUUUGGUGCUGCACGGUCCAGGUUCGAAUCCUGGAGGCGGAA
This 72-nucleotide transfer RNA is filed under the name Curtobacterium sp. MCLR17_054. RNAcentral describes it as "tRNA-Gln". It matches the Rfam family "tRNA". From Rfam's summary of the family: Transfer RNA (tRNA) molecules are approximately 80 nucleotides in length. Their secondary structure includes four short double-helical elements and three loops (D, anti-codon, and T loops). The record is from RNAcentral. Lineage: Bacteria; Bacillati; Actinomycetota; Actinomycetes; Micrococcales; Microbacteriaceae.